Mangifera indica (mango) is the source of this 1924-nucleotide long non-coding RNA. RefSeq lists it as uncharacterized. The transcript is spliced from 2 exons. The record is from RefSeq and is a predicted model, not a curated record. Lineage: Eukaryota; Viridiplantae; Streptophyta; Magnoliopsida; Sapindales; Anacardiaceae.
UUUGGCCCUGGGAAUCGGAAGCACCCAAUUUGUUAAUACCUAGUUGCUCUAUUUAGUGGUAGAUCCGAUUUAAAGUGUUCAAAUUGAAGAAAUUUUAGCUCAAAUUCGGUUGAGUUUGAAUCCUCUUUGAGUAAGGCUUCUCUCGUCACUCCCAUUCCUUGACUUGUUCAAAGGUUAAGUUUUCUUCUUCUUUAUCCCUUUCUUGCUAUGCCCAUUUUGCCAUAAUUCAGUAUCAGAGAUGUUGCUGCCAGCUGCCGCAACUGGACUUCCUAAAACAAGAGAUAUUGAUUCUGUAGAGAUACAACGGAGUGGAAGGUACAAUUUUACGAAAAAUAAACACUACAUAGUACAGGUCAUUUCAGGGAAGAUUCAAAUUGCUUCUUCUCUGUUGGGCGUCUCAAGUAUAAUGAAUUAAGACUUGAUAGAGACAAUCCUCUCUUCAUGAUGGAGCCUCGUCUGUAUUGAUCUAUUGUGUUAAUAGUAGGUACUCCACUCUUGACAACCAAGCAUUUUCAGACUAGAUUGGUAGGGGCCGCGCGAACGCAGGCCCCCUCUACCACAAAUUAUGACGUAGGCUCUCCCACUUGGGGAGACCUUAGAGUGGUGCAGCUUCCAAGUGCAAUGAAGGCCACCACCCUAGGCCAUGGGCCUUCCGGAACACCCAUUGACCCCGUCCAGGUAAGUAUGUUGAUAUGAAAUUGGAGCUCCUUAUUUAUACACUUAUUGUCUAGUUAUUGCUUUGUUUCUACACCAUGUGGGACUCCAUGCAAUGAAUAGACACGAGGCAGUGUGAGUUCAAUGUGUUCUUUUUUGUUUUGCAUAAGAAAUGAAUUUCUUAUUCAAUUUAUUGCAUGGCAAUGCUGUCAACGUUCAAAGUUUUUCUGAAUCUGAGGCUGAGAGACCGUUGCCUCAACAUAUUAUUUUUGUCACUUAGAAGGAAUUUUGCUCCUCCAAAGAUGCUGCUGCAGUCAAUGAAGAGCGAUUGUCUGCUGAGCUUUCAAUGGUGAGUUUACGAAAAUUGUUAGCUACAUAUAUAUUAUUUAGUAUUAGCCUUCAUUGCAGGGGAAGUUAAUCAAUGAAAGAUUUGAAUUAUUUUUGGUUACAUAGUUCCUGUGAAUGAGUAAAAUAACUGGUGAAGGGAAGAUCUUGCCUUUGAGUUGGGUUUGCGUUUUGCUGUGUCUUGACAAUCGUCCCUUUUUUUAGGGUGGAACAAAAUAUAAUUUUGUUUUUUUUGGGUAAUUACAUUAGACUGGGUGUAUGCUUUGGCAUUGUAGUUGCAUUUUAUUCUUUAUUUCGUGGGGAUUGUCAUAAUAACUUUGCCAAUUAUAUGGGUAAAUAAGCUUAUCAAAUGCAUAAGGAAAGUUGCAGGAGAGCUUGAAGGGAGGCAUAAAGGCUAUGGAAGUGAGAUUUUAUAGAAUUUGGUCAAUUUCGAUGAAUGAACUUGAAAUGGAAGUUUCUCAAUCAAGGAAGCAUUGGUACUGCUGGAGUUAAAAUCCUGUCCUUGCCCUAAAGUAGGUCAUACACAUGACUCCAUAGUAGGAAGUGUACCAAAAUUCAGUUUAUGAAAGCCAUUUCAGCCACCGUUUGGGCUGUCUAGGAAAAACAUCAUUGGCUUAAACAUGCAUGUUCAGUUCAUCUUGGAAGUUAACUAUAACCUUAACCAUUCAAACUGCUUUGACAUGAUGGUUUACGGUUGAAGAUAUUUUAGUUUCCAGUGUAUGUAUAGCUUGCCAUGUUAAUAUGACAAGAACCAGUAGAUACCAUUUAUGAUUAAAAUGUUACUAUUCUUCACACUACGACGGGAAUUUCAGUGGAAUACAUUUAUUGAUGUGGGCAUGUAAACUUACAAUUUGUAAGUUAACAAUGUAUACAGAGCAAACUUGCAUUAAGUGACACCACAUUCAGGCCAUUUUAAUGACCAUCA